This 5807-nucleotide long non-coding RNA is filed under the name Sus scrofa (pig). Its description in RNAcentral is "lncRNA (ENSSSCG00000049149.1)". Lineage: Eukaryota; Metazoa; Chordata; Mammalia; Artiodactyla; Suidae. The record is from RNAcentral.
UUUUUUUUUUUUUUUUUUUUUUUUUGUCUUUUUGCUAUUUCUUUGGGCCGCACUCACGGCAUAUGGAGGUUCCCAGGCUAGGGGUCAAAUCAGAGCUGUAGCCACUGGCCUAUGCCAGAGCCACAGCAACGCGGGAUCCGAGCCGCGUCUGCAACCUACACCACAGCUCACGGCAACGCCAGAUCCUUAACCCACUGAGCAAGGGCAGGGACCGAACCCGCAACCUCAUGGUUCCUAGUCGGAUUCGUUAACCACUGCACCAUGACGGGAACUCCCUGCUUUUUCUGAAUAAAGGGAAAUAUACCACUAGGAACUUUCGGGCCUACUUUGAGGCCCGAGUUUGGCUGUGGGGAUAAGUAUCAGUGGAAGUUCUGAUGAAGGAGGAGGAAUUGUGCACUAUUUCAGGACCUUCCCAGACUGAGAGGAGCAAGCACAUUCCUGGCUCAUGAUGGAUAAACACCCAUGAGUGGAGGAUGAACUCCAUUGAAGACCACGCCUAGCAUCACUGAGGGAGGGAGAACUGCCACAACUCCAGGAAUGAGGAAGAAGGCAGGAGACAGCAUCCCUUUGGGGCUGAGAGAGAGACUCCUUUUCCCCAGAGGUAGAACAGCUGUUCUUCUUCUGUGCAAGGCUGCAGAGGGAGGCACCUGCAUUCCACAGGCAGCAGGUCACACUCUCUGAGCGGGUGUGGAGGGAGAGAGUCACGAUGACUUGAGCAGGGGAGGGGCCCCUCUCAAGUUCUGUCAGCCAGGUCUCAAGUUCCUUCAGUGCUUCACUUUCUUUCUCCCAACUUUGCCGCUUUUCCUGUGCCCUAGCAGGUCAUUAUCUGGGUCAGGCUCUGAGCUAGGGCUUACUCAGUCAGGAAAAUGCAGACACUCCAGAGGAACAGGGCUCCUCAGGUGAGGUAACCCCCGUGGGCAGCAGCACCUGCUCUCACCUUAGUGUGCUGUGGUUGGAAGGAGUAGGAGUUACUGAAGGAAGGAAAGGCUCAUAUUCAAUAGCUGUCCCAGUCGUGUAGCUGAGGGCACUGCAGGUAGCUUAGAGGGGUCUGACCUUCAGUGAGCAGGCUACAGGGCUGUGGCCCCAGGUCUAGCUUCACUGAAGAACGGAAGACCCAGGAGGACUUCCUCCUCAGCGUUCAUCUUGUUGCUCUUCCAAGAAUGCUCUCCCUCACACUUUACAUAUCUGUCAGGAGCUACCGCUUUUCCCCUCCUCUGUUCCUGCUCACUCUAGCCCCUCACAUGCUGGUGACGUGGGGAUGAGCCGGGCAGUGGGGCAGAGUCCCAUCUCUGAGAGUAAGGCCCAUGGCUGCCCCAGAAUCACCGUGUACAGCAGGUACUCCUAUGGGUGGGGUGAAUGUUGGCCCACGUUCUUACCCUGCUCUCUGGAAGCUCUCCCUCUUCCUUUAGGAUUUCUUUGGCCCAAAAUGUUCCUGGAGCCUCAGGCUUGGCAUGGUGUCCAGUCACCUCAAGUCAACUGGCCUCCCUAGAGAUGUUGCUAGAACUUCACAGCCACACUGUCUUAAGUUUGGUUCUUGAGAGCAGCCCCUGGGAUGAGGUUCAGGCACAUGUGAUUAUGAAGGCCAUGCUCCCACGAGCAGUUGCAGGGAGUAGGGAAGUGAGCAGGGCGGGGAUGUGCACGUGACCUUGGGUGAAGCCCAGCACCAGCCCAGCACCAAGGAGCUCUGGAGUGGAAAUUACACCUCAGCAUCUAUACCACCUUGAGGGAUGGUUGCUGACCUUUCAUCCUACAGUCAGUCCUUGGCUAUAGGUAACCCAGGAGGGGAUGGUUACACAUUCCCAGAGCUUCCUGCUCCUGAAGGAGAAAGUGGUGCCAUUAGCCCAAGGGCAGGCCUCUAAGGAAGCCACAGGUAUAGGUUGUUCAAAGCAAAGCACGCACAGCUAGGAGGAGGGAUCUGAAAGGAUGGGGUACAGCUUUAGAGUGUUGUCAGUUGUCAGGAAACCCAGACAGCACCCCGGAAAUCAGCUGAAAUGGGCUGGGCCUGGGAGCAGAACAAGGACUCCCACACUGGUAGCUAAGUUGGCCCGUCGGAGUGGAGAAAUUGAGCACAGUUUUUGAGAUCACCACAGGCAUCCUUUCAAUAUCAAGAUUUUAGUGGAAGUAAUGAUUUUUCUUGGCAGAGUCUAAAGCUUUCUUUCCCAGAAUUCCUUUUCUUCUUCCCACUCCACUUCUUCUCCUUUCUCUCAUCACCUGGUUUUCUCAUUUUUCUGAAUUCCUGAAUCACCUACUGUUUGUACCCCUCCCAGGGUUGCUCACCAUUGCUUGGCGUCCCUGUAGGGUUAGCUUCCAGUAGUGGUUCUGUCACAGGUUCUGGAGAUGGACUUGGACUUGAUGCUCAGCUUAGCCACUUACCUACUCUGUAACCUAGGGCAAGCUACUUAACUUCUCUGAGCUUUAUUUCCCUCUGUAAAUUCUAACAGCAGUACCUACUUCAGGUGUACUGAGAGGAUUAAAAUGCAUCAUCGGUGCUUAGCAGUGUAUCUGCUGUGGUCUACAUGUCAUAAAUACUAGCUACUGUUUGGAAACUAUAGAUAUUCUUGUGUGCAGUUAGUUUCCACACUAUACUGCAGCCUCCUUGAGGGCAGGUGCCAGCUACUGAACCUGUGUAUAUAAGUAGGUGCUCAUAUAUGCGUGGGGUUUAAACAGAAAAUUCUGGGCAAGGAGAGAAGGCAAUGGGUUCAGACCCCCACGGUUUCAUAACAAAGCCCAGGAUUUCCACGUUCCUUACAUAGGAGCUGCUUCUCUGCUGAAUUCAGGGCCCAGCAUCUACCAAGAAAAGUGCCCUCUGAUGCCAUGCCGCUGUUCUACUACCCCAGCACCGGGUCCUUGAGGAGGGAGGCCACUGCCAGCCCUCUGGGAAGGAUGGUGAGGGAUCCUUGGGUACCCACCCCCUAGGACAGCUGUGGGCCACCCUGCUGGGCAGGAGCAGAGCAGGCAGGCCUGACCUUCCAGACCUUCAGUCACCCCAACUUGGUGGGGACUGCUCUUCAGGACUCCGUCCUCACUUGUGACUGUUUCGGCUGCCAAGGAGAGUGGGGUGAGCCCUGGGGGCACCUCUUCAGGCAGUUGGAGGGAUACAGGCUGCCCUUCAACCACAGCCCCUGCCAGGGAGCAGAGGCAGGCAUGUAUCUUGCUGAAAAUAAACCCACCCUCUCCUGGAGAACCAGGUGAUGAGGGGUGUGUGUGGGGGGAGUUAAAGGUGGGCAGGACUGGGGGUGUUGGUGGCAGGGGGUUCAUCUCUGAGGAGAUUAUAGUCAUUUUGAGUAAGCGUCACAGAGCCUGGGAAAACUGGGGCUGCCAACAGGGACCUCUCACACUUUCUCUCACACACUCACAUACUUUCAGACACACUUUCUCACACACAAAUACACUCUCAUACUCCCAUACACACACUCACAUGCUCACCUACUCACACUUCCUCUCACACAUUCUUAUGCACACUCACAUACAUUCUCUCACAAAUACUCUCUCGCAGUCACACACAUAUUUUCUAAUACACACUCACACACAUUCACAUAUACUGACACACCAUUCUUUCUCACACAUUCUCACACACACAUAUUCUCUCACACACUCACAUGCUUUCACAACUCACACACUUUAGCAACUCUCUCACACUCAUACACACAUACUCACAUGCUUUCACACACUCUCACACUUUCUCUCAACUUUUCACACACACACACUGUCUCACACACACACACAUACACACACAAAUCAGCGUUCAAAAUGGAGGAGGAUAGAUGGCACUAAUACACUCCUUUGUCUUCCAAGUUCUCAGAAAACCAAAUAACCUAUAGUCUUUUUCUGUGUCUAUAGAGGCUGGUCAAACCUGGACAAUCUCAUUCCAUAUCUUGUGCUAGAAUGAUGUUACAACUCACCCUCUCAAGGCCUUCUAGAAACAGAGGAAAGUUAAAACCGUGGGGAGACAGUGGGAGGUCAAUGGUCCAAAACUUUUGCAGUUUCAUGGACAAUUUCAAAGAUAUGAAGAAAACUGGGGGGUUCCCUCUUUAGAGAAAUGUGCUUAAUGCAUCAGAUGGAAUAUCCUGCAUACAAUUUUAGAGAGUCCUGGAACCUCCUCCCUAAAAUCAAUCUAUCAGCCUUGGAUUAAGACGUCCCAUUCUGAAGCACUCAGUCUCAAGAAACAGAGCUGCUCCAAUUCAAAUGCAAACAAUGCCAGCACCACCACCCACCACGCCCAGCCCAGAGUCCUGAGCUAUAUGACGUCUUCUUGAGACUCAGAGAAUGACAGGUGACAGUGUCAAACUAGUGACACAUCCCAAAGAGAAACCAUCCCUCAUGGACACUUGCUCCCACAGCCUCCAGGAGCUUUCAAAGAACCACCCAUUCUGUUCCAGGCCUUCCAGCGUUCAGGGAAACAUAUUCCUGGGCCAGUGGAAAAGUGGGCUUGGAGUGGCUGAUGAGACCUUCUGGGCUAACCGUCCUCAGCCAUAGAAAAUAGGAAACUAACCUAUGGUGGUGAGUUUCCCUGACCUGUGGAGGAGAUAGCAGCAGAACAGUGUAAGCACGGAGGACAAUUCCACCUAGAGUGCCUGGCAUGGGAACAUGGGGGACCCAAGUUUGGAAUGUAUUGUGACGCAAGGUUGACAUCCAAUGUGCAGCUGAGGGUGUGGGGGCUCUAAAGGUGAAUGCCAGGGCAUGGGGUUUGGGGACAACCACCUAUUUUACCUUGCUUGAGGCAUGCCUCUGUGCAUUGAGCUAAAGUUUAUUGAGCUCCAUGGUGUAUUGGACAUAGAGAAGCAGUGCAGCGGCACAGCCCCAGUCCUCAAAGAACUCAGUGUAUUAGGAAAGAGAAAUCUACACUGAACAUUACAGAAGGUGUCAUGUGAUAGAUGCAAGUCCGAGGCUCUCCCGAGCUGAAAUCCUACUGCUAGAAAUCAUCCUGUGAAGCUAAUGCCAGGGUGGCCCAUAGCUGAGCUCUCAACUUUGGCUGUGCAUCAAAUCCCCUGGGAAACUGAGAAUCAGGCCACACACACAGCAUGUAAAUCAGAAUCUCUGGGGAAGGUCCCAGCCAUCAGCAGUUUUUAAAGCUCCCCCAGUAAUCCCGGUGUAGCAGGAUGGAGAACCACGGGCCAGCCCCUCUUGUGUGGUCUUGCUCCAGAGAAUCCCCCUUAAUAGGAAGCUUCAUGGUUGAUAAAUUAGGACCUUAGGGGACAGCCAGGCUGGGAGAUGGACUAGUGAGUACAUUGACACACAAAAAACUUUCAAAUGUUGUUUUAUAUUUGUGUAACUCAGAAACCUGCCCACUACUAGCAUGUUCAGUAUCCCCAGGCCGUGAACCCAGAGAGAUUAUGGUUUCCCUCACUUACAUCUAAGGCCCAGAACCAACUCUUCUGGGAUUGAACGGCAGUAAGAACAUCUUUUUCCUUCAGAGGAAACUGUCUUUCCAAUACCACCUCAAAGGGUAUGGCCUGGCCCUGUGGUACCUGCAAGGCAAUCAUAGUUUAUAGAACAUUUCCCAAAAUUCCAAGAAAUAUGUGGGAUGUGGACUUUUGUUGGUGUUGGGGUAUAGGGGUCAUGAUUAAAAAAUAUCAUAGAAUUAGGAGUUCCCAUUGUGGCUCAGUAGGUUAAGAACCCUACCUAGUGUCUGGGGGGAUGUGAGUUCAAUCCCUGGCCUCACUCAGUGGGUUAAGGAUCCAGGUUGUUGCAAGCUGCAAUGUAGGUUGCAGAGGCAGCUCAGAUCUUGCAUUGCUGUGGCUGUGGUGUGGCCCGCAGCUCUGAUUUAACCUCUCGUCUGGGAACUUCCAUAUGCCAUAGGUAUGGCC